UACGAGAGGCCCAAACGUUAUUCGGAUUUACUGGGCUUAAAGAGUUCGUAGGCGGUUCGGUAAGUGAGGUGUGAAAGCCCUCGGCUCAACCGAGGAAUUGCGCUUCAAACUGCCGGGCUCGAGGGAGAUAGAGGUGAGCGGAACUGAUGGUGGAGCGGUGAAAUGCGUUGAUAUCAUCAGGAACACCAGAGGCGAAGGCGGCUCACUGGGUCUCUUCUGACGCUGAGACGCGAAAGCGUGGGGAGCAAACAGG
RNAcentral lists this ribosomal RNA (253 nucleotides) under uncultured bacterium. RNAcentral's name for it is "partial 16S ribosomal RNA". It matches the Rfam family "Bacterial small subunit ribosomal RNA", at positions 524 to 776 of the family's 1533-position model. The record is from RNAcentral.